RNAcentral lists this long non-coding RNA (1186 nucleotides) under Struthio camelus australis. Its description in RNAcentral is "lncRNA (ENSSCUG00000015860.1)". Lineage: Eukaryota; Metazoa; Chordata; Aves; Struthioniformes; Struthionidae. The record is from RNAcentral.
CACCCAGGAGCGGGUGGUCUUCCUCGACACCCAGCCCAUCCUCAGCCCCUCCGUCCUCGACCACCUCAUCAACAACGACCGCAAGCUGCCGCCCGAGUACAGCCUGCCCCACACCUACGUCGAGAUGCAGGUGGGGCAGCAGGGCCGCGGUGGUGGCGUGGUAAUUGCGUGGGAAUAGGGUGGUAACAGCACGGUAAUUGCGUGGUAAUUACAUUGUAAUAGCCGGGUAACAACAGGCUAGCAGCAGUGUAAUUACAUUGUAAUAGAGUGGUAAUAACAGUGUAAUUGCAUGUUAAUUACAUUGUAAUAGCCUAAUAGCAACACGGUAACUGCAUGGUAAUUACAUGGUAAUAGAGUAGUAAUAACAUGGUAAUCAUAUAGUAAUGCCAAUAUGGUAAUUACAUGGUAAUAGUAGCUACAUGAUAAUUACAUGUAAUAGAGCGGUAAUAACAGAGUAAGUACAUGGUAAAUACACAGAGUGGCCAUACAAGUAAUUACAUUGUAACUACACAGUAAUAGAGUGUAAUAACAGUAGCUACAUGGUAAUUACAUGGUAUUAGCAGGAAAAUAAUAGUAAUUAGAUAGCAAUUACAUGGUAAUUACAUUGUAAUAGAAUGGUAAUAGCAGUUAUUACAUUGUAAUAACAUGGUAAUAGAGUAGCAAUAGCAGUAAUUACAUAGUAAUUACAUUGCAAUAGAGUGUAAUGACAGUAACUACAUGCUGAUUAUAGUGUAAUUGCAUUGUAAUAGAGCAUAAUAGCAGUAACUACAUGCUAAUUACAUUGUAGUUACAUUGUAAUAACAUGGUAAUGAGUGCUCAUAACAGUACUUAUGUGGUAAUAGAGGAGCAAUAACACAGCAAUUACGUGGCAACAGUGAGGUGACGACCUGGUAAUUACAUGGCAAGAGCAGUGUAAUAACGUGGUAAUUAUAUCGUAAUUAAGAGUAGCGUGGCACAGUUUAGGUGGCCUGGGUAAGACUAACGAAGCAGUUGUAAUGGCAUGGUGACAACGUGCUAAUAACGUUGUAAUGGCACGUUAGUAAUGUGGUAAUUGCAUGUUACUAGCAGGCUAAUAACAGUGUAAUAGCAUAUUAACGACAGGGUAAUAAGUGUUAAUUACAUUGUAAUAGCAUCAUAAUAGCAGGGCAAUAGCAGUGUAAUAAGUGUUAAUAACAUGUUAAUAACG